This 497-nucleotide ribosomal RNA is filed under the name uncultured bacterium. RNAcentral's name for it is "partial 16S ribosomal RNA". It matches the Rfam family "Bacterial small subunit ribosomal RNA", at positions 28 to 507 of the family's 1533-position model. The record is from RNAcentral.
GAUGAACGCUGGCGGCGUGCCUAAUACAUGCAAGUCGAGCGAACAGAUGAGGAUCUUGCUCCUCUGACGUUAGCGGCGGACGGGUGAGUAACACGUGGAUAACCUACCUAUAAGACUGGGAUAACUUCGGGAAACCGGAGCUAAUACCGGAUAAUAUAUUGAACCGCAUGGUUCAAUAGUGAAAGACGGUUUUGCUGUCACUUAUAGAUGGAUCCGCGCCGCAUUAGCUAGUUGGUAAGGUAACGGCUUACCAAGGCAACGAUGCGUAGCCGACCUAAGAGGGUGAUCGGCCACACUGGAACUGAGACACGGUCCAGACUCCUACGGGAGGCAGCAGGAGGGAAUCUUCCGAAAUGGGCGAAAGCCUGACGGAGCAACGCCGCGUGAGUGAUGAAGGUCUUCGGAUCGUAAAACUCUGUUAUUAGGGAAGAACAAAUGUGUAAGUAACUAUGCACGUCUUGACGGUACCUAAUCAGAAAGCCACGGCUAACUACGUG